ACGUGAUUCUCUAAUGAACUCAUUUAAAAAAAAAUCAAACGUUCUUGAUUUUUAUGGUUUAUACUUUUGAGAUUUUAAUUUUUAUGGUUUUUUGAGGAUUUUUAUUUUAUAUUUCACGUUUUUUGAAUGUUGUUUGUACAUGUUUUUCUGAUAUAGAAAAUAUAUUUACUAUAUAAGAGUACUUUUAAGCAAAAAAAUUAUUUCUAUAAAAAUUAUUUUUAACAGAUAUUUUAUACCUUGAAUAUGAUGAUGAUGACUUUUAAACAAUUUUUGUGAGAGAACCCUAAACAGAAGUAGGAACUACGAUGGGGUAGGAUUGCAAAUUAGCAAUAAACUGUUACCGUUCUAGCAAAGGGCGCCUUUUAAAGAAAUCUAUUUUAGGGAGAAAGAAUCAAAAUUCAAAACUAUACUAUUUAUCCGUUUAAGUAUUGAGAAAAAAAAUAGAGAUGCUAAAGUGCCCGAAUAAUCGAUCAGAUUCUAAUCAUUCGAAACAAAUUACGUAAUUACACAAAUCGGACAUUGUUGUGAACUAGAUGAACAGUGGUGCUAUGAGACUUGUUUGCAGGUCUGAAACAUAAGUGAACUUAAUCGAUUGUCAAUUACUAGAGCAUCAAUGGCAUCUUUUGAACCAAUCAUUCGCAUGGAUGAAAAUGCAUUUAUUCCUCGGGAGAAGAUGCAACCGCCUAAAAUGGGCAGGAAAGCUCUUACUGAUAUGACUAAUUCUAAGAGGCCGCUUGCAAAGGACAGGUCAUCAGUGAAGAACCUCAAUAGUCUAAAGGCACCGGAAAAGGUUUUGCAGCCUAAAAUUAGCAGGAAACCUCUUGGUGAUUUAACAAACUCAAAGCAGCCAUGUGUAAACGAAAAUUCAUCCAAGAAAAACUGUAUUGAGAACGUUUCUUAAGACACACCUAAAAUUCAACAUAAACUUUCUUAAGACACACCUAGGACUAAUUUAGACUUAGUCUCCUAAUUAAUUGUAUCCAGUUCAAUACAGGAAUGAUUUGACGCCAGAAGGUAGACUGUAUUUCUUUCUUAGCCAAAAAUCUCUUAUAUAGUGUCUGGGAACAAGUAUUUCAUUUCAAAUUAUGGAUUUUAAUAAUGAAAUCAUAAAUGAAGAAUUUGCGAAUGACAAAGUUUGGGUAGUCAUUUUCAAAUUUUCAACUUUAACUUCUUUAAAAAUAAUGGUGAAUUUUGAUCCAAAUUCAAAUUUGAAAAUUUUUAAUUUGGCAAAAAAUAAAUUUAAGUCAAUUUCAAUGAAAUUAUCGUUUCCAAAUAUAGACAUUAAAUAACUUUUCACUAAAAAAAUGCCUAAAAACGUUCAAAAGAUUGUGGUAAAAAAGCUACUCACUCAAAU
Amaranthus tricolor (Joseph's coat) is the source of this 1354-nucleotide long non-coding RNA. RefSeq lists it as uncharacterized. Lineage: Eukaryota; Viridiplantae; Streptophyta; Magnoliopsida; Caryophyllales; Amaranthaceae. The record is from RefSeq and is a predicted model, not a curated record. The transcript is spliced from 3 exons.